UUCUAUUUGUACGGAACAUAACUACCUAUUAUUACUUUUUAAUUCUAAAAUAAAUUAAAAAAUUAAAAAAAAAAAAAAGAUAAACACAAGCGGUGAAUGUUAAGCACAAAACAAAAGUAAGCAUCAGUCUUCAAUAUGGGGCCAUACAUUGGUCAAAUGUCCGUUGGUUGUGGAAAUCAGCAAAUUACGUCAAUAUGGGGCAAGUCGAAAACACUUGUACAUGUUAGCUAAAUUUAUCAAAGAGCAUCUUUAAGAGAGUUGUCAAAUGUAAAAUGUUAAAUUUGAAUGUGAUAGUUUAUGUGGUAAUUUGACACUUG
This 317-nucleotide long non-coding RNA is filed under the name Prunus persica (peach). RNAcentral describes it as "long non-coding RNA (PPER_LNC006485)". The record is from RNAcentral. Lineage: Eukaryota; Viridiplantae; Streptophyta; Magnoliopsida; Rosales; Rosaceae.